CGGGUCGUAAAGUUCUGUUGUUAGGGAAGAACAAGUACCAGAGUAACUGCUGGUACCUUGACGGUACCUAACCAGAAAGCCACGGCUAACUACGUGCCAGCAGCCGCGGUAAUACGUAGGUGGCAAGCGUUGUCCGGAAUUAUUGGGCGUAAAGCGCGCGCAGGCGGUUUCUUAAGUCUGAUGUGAAAGCCCACGGCUCAACCGUGGAGGGUCAUUGGAAACUGGGGAACUUGAGUGCAGAAGAGGAGAGUGGAAUUCCACGUGUAGCGGUGAAAUGCGUAGAGAUGUGGAGGAACACCAGUGGCGAAGGCGACUCUCUGGUCUGUAACUGACGCUGAGGCGCGAAAGCGUGGGGAGCGAACAGGAUUAGAUACCCUGGUAGUCACGCCGUAAACGAUGAGUGCUAAGUGUUAGAGGGUUUCCGCCCUUUAGUGCUGCAGCAAACGCAUUAAGCACUCCGCCUGGGGAGUACGGUCGCAAGACUG
RNAcentral lists this ribosomal RNA (485 nucleotides) under uncultured Bacillota bacterium. RNAcentral's name for it is "bacterial SSU rRNA". It matches the Rfam family "Bacterial small subunit ribosomal RNA", at positions 419 to 896 of the family's 1533-position model. The record is from RNAcentral. Lineage: Bacteria; Bacillati; Bacillota.